CAUUAAGUGGCUGAAAACCUUAAGCAUUGGUCUCUUAAACCAACAUAUGGUAUUAAUUACCCUUAAUGA
RNAcentral lists this transfer RNA (69 nucleotides) under Sastragala esakii. RNAcentral's name for it is "tRNA-Lys". The record is from RNAcentral. Lineage: Eukaryota; Metazoa; Arthropoda; Insecta; Hemiptera; Acanthosomatidae.